Molecule: ribosomal RNA, 433 nt
Filed under: uncultured bacterium
Lineage: Bacteria
Description: partial 16S ribosomal RNA
Rfam family: Bacterial small subunit ribosomal RNA
Source: RNAcentral
AACGAACGCUGGCGGCAUGCCUAACACAUGCAAGUCGAACGAGACCUUCGGGUCUAGUGGCGCACGGGUGCGUAACGCGUGGGAACCUGCCCUUAGGUUCGGAAUAACUCACCGAAAGGGGUGCUAAUACCGGAUAAUGUCUUCGGACCAAAGAUUUAUCGCCUUUGGAUGGGGCCGCGUUGGAUUAGCUAGUUGGUAGGGUAAAAGCCUACCAAGGCGACGAUCCAUAGCUUGGCUGAGAGGAUGAAUAGCCACACUGGGACAAAGACACGGCCCAGACGCGUACGCGAAGGAAUAGAGGGGAAUGUAAGAAAAUAGACGAACAUUUGAAGCAGCAAUGGCCAGAGAAUGAUAAUGGAAUGUUGAUGAUAAAGCUCUAGGAGUCGGGAAAAUAGGGACAGAAGAGGAUGGAUUAACAGAAGCUAGCUCCAGG